UACGUAGGGUGCAAGCGUUGUCCGGAAUUACUGGGCGUAAAGGGCUCGUAGGCGGCCAACUAAGUCAGACGUGAAAUCCCUCGGCUUAACCGGGGAACUGCGUCUGAUACUGGAUGGCUGGAGGUUGGGAGAGGGAUGCGGAAUUCCAGGUGUAGCGGUGAAAUGCGUAGAUAUCUGGAGGAACACCGGUGGCGAAGGCGGCAUCCUGGACCAAUUCUGACGCUGAGGAGCGAAAGCCAGGGGAGCAAACGGG
RNAcentral lists this ribosomal RNA (253 nucleotides) under uncultured bacterium. RNAcentral describes it as "partial 16S ribosomal RNA". It matches the Rfam family "Bacterial small subunit ribosomal RNA", at positions 524 to 776 of the family's 1533-position model. The record is from RNAcentral.